UGCAGUCGAGCGAGACCUUCGGGUCUAGCGGCGGACGGGUGAGUAACGCGUGGGAACGUGCCCUUCUCUACGGAAUAGCCCCGGGAAACUGGGAGUAAUACCGUAUACGCCCUUUGGGGGAAAGAUUUAUCGGAGAAGGAUCGGCCCGCGUUGGAUUAGGUAGUUGGUGGGGUAAUGGCCCACCAAGCCGACGAUCCAUAGCUGGUUUGAGAGGAUGAUCAGCCACACUGGGACUGAGACACGGCCCAGACUCCUACGGGAGGCAGCAGUGGGGAAUCUUAGACAAUGGGGGCAACCCUGAUCUAGCCAUGCCGCGUGAGUGAUGAAGGCCUUAGGGUUGUAAAGCUCUUUCAGCUGGGAAGAUAAUGACGGUACCAGCAGAAGAAGCCCCGGCUAACUCCGUGCCAGCAGCCGCGGUAAUACGGAGGGGGCUAGCGUUGUUCGGAAUUACUGGGCGUAAAGCGCACGUAGGCGGACUGGAAAGUCAGAGGUGAAAUCCCAGGGCUCAACCUUGGAACUGCCUUUGAAACUAUCAGUCUGGAGUUCGAGAGAGGUGAGUGGAAUUCCGAGUGUAGAGGUGAAAUUCGUAGAUAUUCGGAGGAACACCAGUGGCGAAGGCGGCUCACUGGCUCGAUACUGACGCUGAGGUGCG
This 652-nucleotide ribosomal RNA is filed under the name bacterium SCSIO13059. RNAcentral describes it as "bacterial SSU rRNA". It matches the Rfam family "Bacterial small subunit ribosomal RNA", at positions 56 to 755 of the family's 1533-position model. RNAcentral also lists the same sequence under 1 other name. The record is from RNAcentral.